RNAcentral lists this long non-coding RNA (996 nucleotides) under Chinchilla lanigera (long-tailed chinchilla). RNAcentral describes it as "lncRNA (ENSCLAG00000022582.1)". Lineage: Eukaryota; Metazoa; Chordata; Mammalia; Rodentia; Chinchillidae. The record is from RNAcentral.
AUUUCUCAAAUCUCCUUCUCGCUUCCCCACGCUCGGCAGUCUGUGCUUUCUGGGUUGAUUGGAUGACUGGGAGUCCGCCAGGCAGAGGACAACAACGUUCAGACCGGCAGAGGGAGCAGCGUGCUCAACAAUGAAGAGGAAGGAAGCUGCAUUCUGGGCUGUAGUUCAGCGGGUGGAAGUGUAGGGCAUGAAGAUCUCCGGGAGGGCAGGUGGUCAGUCAGGAACUACUGGUGGUGUUUCCUGAGUGUAGCAGACAAAGUGAGCGCAAGCAAGAGCGACACAGCGUCUGAUGACUUCUGCAAGCCACCGCAGCCCCAGGGGAUGGGGAUGAGCACUGUAUGCCCCUUCCUGAACGCAGCCCGGCCCAUUUGCCCACAUAAAAGCUUGGAGUCGGAAGAGGACGGUUUUAGAAGCCCGUCAGUAUCCAUGCUGAGCUCUUGUUUGCACCCUGGAAGCCUCUGCUACCCCGGGGCUUUGACCAAGGUCUCUGAGCCGCGAGGGACCAAGAAUGGGGAAAACAGCAGCAAGCUUUUGGAGACACUGGAAGAACGUUUGGAAAAGUGUGACAGUGCGGAUUUAUGUCUCUGCACUGGACGGAUGUGGUGGCAGCACCUGCUCAGGCACGUUGCAGCUGGGGUUUGAAAGCAUGAACCUCGUUCUCCUUUGCGAUCGUUAAAUCUUUUCAGGUCCUUCCUGCAGACCCGCCUUAAGCAACAGUUCACAAGGAAUGCAGACAGGGGCUGCGAUGAAAUGUGAUGAACAGCAAUAAAAAGUACUCAGAUCAGAGUAUUAAUCAUUUAAAACCACAUUGUUCUUAUGGUGUGAAACCAAAAGUGUAAAUAAGGAGCAAAACGUAUAUUAGGUACUGUGAAAUAAGAAGAAAAUGUACAGAUGGGGAUGGCAACAAGGAAGGCGAAGGAGGAAAGGAAAGAAGGGAAAAGUAAAAAAGGUGAGAAGAGAAAGAAAAUAUGGACACAAAGCUUUUGAAAAUGGGAG